Molecule: non-coding RNA, 46 nt
Filed under: Schistosoma mansoni
Lineage: Eukaryota; Metazoa; Platyhelminthes; Trematoda; Strigeidida; Schistosomatidae
Source: RNAcentral
GUACUGCUGAAGAGUCCCACAUAAGGACGAAACAGCCGUCCAAUGC